RNAcentral lists this ribosomal RNA (292 nucleotides) under uncultured bacterium. RNAcentral's name for it is "partial 16S ribosomal RNA". It matches the Rfam family "Bacterial small subunit ribosomal RNA", at positions 505 to 796 of the family's 1533-position model. The record is from RNAcentral.
GUGCCAGCAGCCGCGGUAAUACGGAGGGUGCAAGCGUUAUCCGGAUUCACUGGGUUUAAAGGGUGCGUAGGUGGGCUAGUAAGUCCGUGGUGAAAUCUCCAAGCUUAACUUGGAAACUGCCGUGGAUACUAUUAGUCUUGAAUGUUGUGGAGGUAAGCGGAAUAUGUCAUGUAGCGGUGAAAUGCUUAGAUAUGACAUAGAACACCGAUAGCGGAGGCAGCUUGCUACACAAUGAUUGACACUGAGGCACGAAAGCGUGGGGAUCAAACAGGAUUAGAUACCCUGGUAGUCC